UAAUGCUCAGACACCAUGGGGUCCAGUCUGGACACAGCAUGGUGUGUGCCAAGGUGAGGCUCUCUGCCCAACUCUCCUGGAGUCACACUCCUUCUCAGCACAAGUUAAACAAAGGCUCUGAGGCUCUCCUAGUCUGCCGACGCCUACCCACCACCUGGUGCUAGCGGGCACCCCGCUUGGUCAUCUCAUCCACAUCCUCCUCCAACCACAUGAGGCUUCAUAGCAGAGGCAGCCGAGGAGGCAAGGCCCAUGGUCACAAAGCUCCAGCACCCCCGGAGUCCCCACGAGGGAACCUCAGCCCUGCCCCAGGAUCUCUCAGUGGUUGUGUGGGGUACUUUUCUUCAACAGAAGGCUACCUGGCUCAAAGACAAGGCCUGCGGUUUGAGAUGACAAUGAAACCACCUCUGCAAAAAUUCUAACAGUGAGAAAAUGAUGACAGUGAAAGAGAUCUGACCUAACCGACUCCAUCUUGCUUCUACCCUCCAAGCUGUCCUUUUCAUUCCUGGGCAUGGGCUGAACUAACUUCGGGAGGAACUUAGUUUAUAGUUUAACUUUGAAACAAAAAUGACCCAGCGUUCUGAUGCACCAGCUAGUGCCACCCAGACCGGUAAUCUGGCUCAGCCAGUUCUGGGAUCCCACCCAGGAACCGAAAACAGCAAAAAACCCACUUCAAUCCCCUAUGAUUCCAUCUCCGACCCAACCAAUCAGCAUUCCCCACUUCCUGAACCCCUACCCACCAAAUUAUCCUUAAAAAUCCCAAUCUCCAAAUUUUCAGAGAGGCUGAUUUGAGUAACAAUAAAACUCUGGUCUCCUGUAUAGCCAGCA
Molecule: long non-coding RNA, 825 nt
Organism: Gorilla gorilla gorilla (western lowland gorilla)
Lineage: Eukaryota; Metazoa; Chordata; Mammalia; Primates; Hominidae
Exons: 2
Source: RefSeq, a predicted model, not a curated record